GGUGCAUGGUUUUCCAGAUACAUAGUUCAGGUGUAUAUUGAAGAACGUGGACUAGGCCUGUGAGCUGGGAUCAGGGUGGGAUCAGGAUAGUGGUCUGCGACAACUCUACUGAAGCUCAUGGUUUGUCAAGUUCACACUCCGAAAUAUGAAAGUUCAAGCUGCAAAGUUUCACUGUGGGUUUACGUCACCUUCAUGUCCAGCACUCACUCUCAAGAUCCUGUCUGGAACGUGCUCUGUCUACACCUGCAGUUCGGGGUAUUUUCUCCUGUACUUGUAUUGUUGUGGAUAUAUUCAACUUCAUUGACAAAUUAAAAUGGCAUACAUGGGAAA
Mastomys coucha (southern multimammate mouse) is the source of this 330-nucleotide long non-coding RNA. RefSeq lists it as uncharacterized. The transcript has 2 exons. The record is from RefSeq and is a predicted model, not a curated record. NCBI's taxonomy places the organism in Eukaryota, Metazoa, Chordata, Mammalia, Rodentia, Muridae.